GCACUCCGCCCGUCCCAGGCCAGCAUCAGUUCGCGCCGGGGGACAAAGGCGGCGGGAACGUGGCUCCCCAGGGAGUGUUAUAGCCCGCCGCGCCAUGCCCCGGGGGCGGACUGAGGGCCGCGCAUCACUGCAAGGAUGCUGGCGUAAUGGUCACCAGCGACCCGUCUUGAAACACGGGCCAAGGAGUCGUCCUCGUAUGCGAGUGUUCGGGUGUCAAACCCCUACGCGGAAUGAAAGUGAACGUGGGUGAGAGCUUCGGCGCAUCAUCGACCGAUCCUGAUGUUCUCGGAUGGAUUUGAGUAGGAGCAUACGGGGCCGGACCCGAAAGAAGGUGAACUAUGCCUGUGUAGGGUGAAGCCAGAGGAAACUCUGGUGGAGGCUCGCAGCGGUUCUGACGUGCAAAUCGAUCGUCAAACAUGGGCAUGGGGGCGAAAGACUAAUCGAACCUUCUAGUAGCUGGUUUCCGCCGAAGUUUCCCUCAGGAAAU
This 487-nucleotide ribosomal RNA is filed under the name Aschersonia sp. JOWM-14. RNAcentral's name for it is "LSU rRNA". It matches the Rfam family "Eukaryotic large subunit ribosomal RNA", at positions 477 to 981 of the family's 3401-position model. Lineage: Eukaryota; Fungi; Ascomycota; Sordariomycetes; Hypocreales; Clavicipitaceae. The record is from RNAcentral.